AGUGAACGCUGGCGGUAGGCCUAACACAUGCAAGUCGAACGGCAGCACAGGAGAGCUUGCUCUCUGGGUGGCGAGUGGCGGACGGGUGAGGAAUACAUCGGAAUCUACCUUUUCGUGGGGAUAACGUAGGGAAACUUACGCUAAUACCGCAUACGACCUACGGGUGAAAGUGGGGGACCGCAAGGCCUCACGCGCUUAGAUGAGCCGAUGUCCGAUUAGCUAGUUGGCGGGGUAAUGGCCCACCAAGGCGACGAUCGGUAGCUGGUCUGAGAGGAUGAUCAGCCACACUGGAACUGAGACACGGUCCAGACUCCUACGGGAGGCAGCAGUGGGGAAUAUUGGACAAUGGGCGCAAGCCUGAUCCAGCCAUACCGCGUGGGUGAAGAAGGCCUUCGGGUUGUAAAGCCCUUUUGUUGGGAAAGAAAUCCUGUCGAUUAAUACUCGGUGGGGAUGACGGUACCCAAAGAAUAAGCACCGGCUAGCUUCGUGCCAGCCGCCGCAGUAA
RNAcentral lists this ribosomal RNA (505 nucleotides) under uncultured bacterium. RNAcentral describes it as "partial 16S ribosomal RNA". It matches the Rfam family "Bacterial small subunit ribosomal RNA", at positions 29 to 523 of the family's 1533-position model. The record is from RNAcentral.